This 449-nucleotide ribosomal RNA is filed under the name uncultured bacterium. RNAcentral describes it as "partial 16S ribosomal RNA". It matches the Rfam family "Bacterial small subunit ribosomal RNA", at positions 29 to 523 of the family's 1533-position model. The record is from RNAcentral.
AGCGAACGCUGGCGGCAGGCUUAACACAUGCAAGUCGAACGGGCACUUCGGUGCUAGUGGCAGACGGGUGAGUAACGCGUGGGAACGUGCCUUUCGGUUCGGAAUAACCCAGGGAAACUUGGACUAAUACCGGAUACGCCCUUCGGGGGAAAGAUUUAUCGCCGAAAGAUCGGCCCGCGUCUGAUUAGCUAGUUGGCGAGGUAAAGGCUCACCAAGGCGACGAUCAGGAGCUGGUCUGAGAGGAUGAUCAGCCACAUUGGGACUGAGACACGGCCCAAACUCCUACGGGAGGCAGCAGUGGGAAAUAUUGGACAAUGGGCGCAAGCCUGAUCCAGCCAUGCCGCGUGAGUGAUGAAGGCCUUAGGGUUGUAAAGCUCUUUUGUCCGGGAAGAUAAUGACUGUACCGGAAGAAUAAGCCCCGGCUAACUUCGUGCCAGCCGCCGCCGUAA